Long non-coding RNA from Pseudophryne corroboree (corroboree frog), 728 nucleotides. RefSeq lists it as uncharacterized. NCBI's taxonomy places the organism in Eukaryota, Metazoa, Chordata, Amphibia, Anura, Myobatrachidae. The transcript has 5 exons. The record is from RefSeq and is a predicted model, not a curated record.
UGGUUACAAAAUGACCCACAAUAGUCCGGUAACGCAGGUGUAAUAGCCGCUCUUCAGCGGACUCUUGGUCACUAUUAGGACGGCUUUACCCUCGUAUUGUAGUUUAUUUAUUUGAACCAAUAUCCUUUAUCGCACAAAUCAUAGAGAACGUAUUACAGAGUGAUGUUAUGGAGAUACAGUUACACCCUUUAUAUGCCAUGGCCUGGACACUGUUAUUAGUGAAAUGUGAUGUCAUAGUUACACAUUCCGUACUUACUACUGCUCCAAGGCUGCAGCAGGUCACUGCACCCCUGACCAUCCAGAACAUCAGACGUGUCUUGCUUCAGAAAAAUGGCAGAAAAGAUGGAUUUUAUCCAGGUCUGUGCCCAAAGCAUGGCCCGCUUUUACACCAGCGUUGUCCUGGCAUUUGACGAAGUGGAAGACAGCAUCAGUAGAGUACAAUACCAUCGCAGACUGAAAAAGAUGGAGAAAAAGAGAAAUAAGACCAAGACUCCACGCCUCUCAUGGGGCAACUCAUGGAGCAAUGACAACGCCUAUGAGAGGUUGAUUUAAAAAAAAAAAAAAACCAUCAAAACAAAAAACCAUCCAAAAAAAAACCAGCAUCAAAAAAUAAAAAAAAAAUAUCAAUGGGGGGGUAUUGUCGUACUGAGGUGGAUGUUGAGGGCAGCUGUGAUCAUGUGGUAAUUUUCUUGACUCUAGGAGAGGCUGGUAGACUGGAGGAAGUGUUG